UACGGGGGGGGCAAGCGUUGUUCGGAAUUACUGGGCGUAAAGGGUCUGUAGGUGGCCAACUAAGUCAGACGUGAAAUCCCUCGGCUUAACCGGGGAACUGCAUCUGAUACUGGAUGGCUUGAGUUUGGGAGAGGGAUGCGGAAUUCCAGGUGUAGCGGCGAAAUGCGUAGAUAUCUGGAGGAACACCGGUGGCGAAGGCGGCAUCCUGGACCAACACUGACACUGAGGAGCGAAAGCCAGGGGAGCAAACGGG
Molecule: ribosomal RNA, 253 nt
Filed under: uncultured bacterium
Lineage: Bacteria
Description: partial 16S ribosomal RNA
Rfam family: Bacterial small subunit ribosomal RNA
Source: RNAcentral